GUGGCGAACGGGUGAGUAACACGUGAGUAACCUGCCCUUAACUCUGGGAUAAGCCUGGGAAACUGGGUCUAAUACCGGAUAUGACUCCUCAUCGCAUGGUGGGGGGUGGAAAGCUUUUUUGUGGUUUUGGAUGGACUCGCGGCCUAUCAGCUUGUUGGUGAGGUAAUGGCUCACCAAGGCGACGACGGGUAGCCGGCCUGAGAGGGUGACCGGCCACACUGGGACUGAGACACGGCCCAGACUCCUACGGGAGGCAGCAGUGGGGAAUAUUGCACAAUGGGCGAAAGCCUGAUGCAGCGACGCCGCGUGAGGGAUGACGGCCUUCGGGUUGUAAACCUCUUUCAGUAGGGAAGAAGCGAAAGUGACGGUACCUGCAGAAGAAGCGCCGGCUAACUACGUGCCAGCAGCCGCGGUAAUACGUAGGGCGCAAGCGUUAUCCGGAAUUAUUGGGCGUAAAGAGCUCGUAGGCGGUUUGUCGCGUCUGCCGUGAAAGUCCGGGGCUCAACUCCGGAUCUGCGGUGGGUACGGGCAGACUAGAGUGAUGUAGGGGAGACUGGAAUUCCUGGUGUAGCGGUGAAAU
RNAcentral lists this ribosomal RNA (580 nucleotides) under Arthrobacter sp. I14A-00936. RNAcentral describes it as "bacterial SSU rRNA". It matches the Rfam family "Bacterial small subunit ribosomal RNA", at positions 95 to 687 of the family's 1533-position model. The record is from RNAcentral. Lineage: Bacteria; Bacillati; Actinomycetota; Actinomycetes; Micrococcales; Micrococcaceae.